UAGUUAGUUAAUUUGGAUUCGGCAAAAAUUCGGUACGGAUAUAAUACGUAUAAAAUUCGUUUUCUAAUUUUUAAAUUCGUUGAAAAAUUCGGCUUAAAAAACGGAUUCGGUAUAAAAUAUAAAAUAUAAGAUAUAAAAUAUAAAAUAAUUUAUAUUUAAAAAUAAAAUUAUAAGUUUUUUAUUUAUAUUUUCAAUAAUUCGGUAAUAAUUCGUGAAUAAUUCGUGAAUUAUUAGCGAAUAAUUCGGCUGGUUUAAAAAUUCGCGAAUAAUUCUCUUUCUUUUGAAAAAUUUCGUAAACGUACCGUUUUAUUUGAAUUUUCAAUAAUUCGCGAAUAAUUCGCCAAUUUACUAACUAGGAUCCUUGCUCCAUUAUGUGAGCAAUGGGGAUUAAUUAAUUAAUGUUAAAUAUAAAAUUAUAUAAACACCGUUCUCUAGCCGCUUAUGUUUUUAGAGUACAAAGACUGUUUCACAUGGUAUCAGAGCAGGAGGUCCUGAAUUCGAAUCACGCCAGGCUCCUAGAAUAUUAAUUUUCUCUUAUUUAAUUCAAGCCCACAUCAUGGGCCGACUAAAAAGUCUCGAGCCCAGACAUGAAGGGGAAUGUU
RNAcentral lists this long non-coding RNA (602 nucleotides) under Ananas comosus (pineapple). Its description in RNAcentral is "long non-coding RNA (ACOM_LNC017539)". The record is from RNAcentral. Lineage: Eukaryota; Viridiplantae; Streptophyta; Magnoliopsida; Poales; Bromeliaceae.